GGGUAGGUGGCCGAGUGGUUAAAGGCGACAGACUGUAAAUCUGUUCCGCAUCGCGGUACGCUGGUUCGAAUCCAGCCCUGCCCACCA
This 87-nucleotide transfer RNA is filed under the name Vulcanimicrobiota bacterium. Its description in RNAcentral is "tRNA-Tyr". It matches the Rfam family "tRNA". From Rfam's summary of the family: Transfer RNA (tRNA) molecules are approximately 80 nucleotides in length. The record is from RNAcentral. Lineage: Bacteria; Bacillati; Vulcanimicrobiota.